UGGGGAAUAUUGCACAAUGGGGGAAACCCGUGAUGACAGCGACGCCGCGUGAGCGAUGAAGUAUUUCGGUAUGUAAAGCUCUAUCAGCAGGGAAGAAAAUGACGGUACCUGACUAAGAAGCCCCGGCUAACUACGUGCC
Molecule: ribosomal RNA, 139 nt
Filed under: uncultured bacterium
Lineage: Bacteria
Description: partial 16S ribosomal RNA
Rfam family: Bacterial small subunit ribosomal RNA
Source: RNAcentral